This is an RNA transcript of Rosa chinensis, 269 nucleotides long. RefSeq lists it as uncharacterized. NCBI's taxonomy places the organism in Eukaryota, Viridiplantae, Streptophyta, Magnoliopsida, Rosales, Rosaceae. The record is from RefSeq and is a predicted model, not a curated record. The transcript is spliced from 2 exons.
GAGUAGUCCGAGUCCCUGGCAGGAUGAUGAAAUGGAAAGUUCGAGCAUGGAUGAGCAGUGUGAUUCCAGGAUGUUUAACUGGUGUGAAGUGAUGCAAACAGAAGUACAUGAGGGACCCUAUCCGCCAAUAUCACAAUGCUACGACUUGCUCAUCAGAUUAACAGUCAUCAUGCAAGCGGGGGCUUUUAUGAUAGACACCAAUCCACCACAUUCUUUUAUUUAUAAUUUUGAUCAGGAACCAUGUAUAUUAGGGGAAACAAAGAUUUGGG